CUCUUGUCGAACAACGUAUCAAAGUGGUAUCCUCAUCUCUUUUCUCAUCCCUUUUUCGUUUCAUUAUCUUCAGACAAUUUGUUGAUUAUCAACUCCAUUUAGAUCUUUAUUCUUUUUGUUUUCUUAAAUUGCACUAACUUACACAUCUUGUCCCCUUCCAUACUCCUAAAUUUCAAUACAAAGUAGCUAGACAUAUACCACAAGCCUCGCUAGCCUCUUUCUAUGCUUCUCUUGCAAACUUAUAUUUCUCAAAGAUCUCAGCUUUUAUUGUCAAUUAACCUAUUACACUAUCCCCCCUUCACCUAAAUAACCUUUUGAAUCUCCACACACGACUGCUGAGACUCUUGUGGGCAUAGGCCUCUGAUAGCAGCAGCCCAACUAGAGAUUCAGGAACCAUGAACCAUGGGCCAAAACCCUUGAGAGUUUACUAUAGAAGAAACAAGGAAAGGGUAGCAUAGUUCCCAAAUGAAGAGUCCAAUGGACAAAUUAGGUGGUUAUGAGGUUAGAGAGAUUCUCGAACAAUACCUAGAGAAAGAAAGAAUUUUUAUUGUUUUAUAAAUAAUUAUUGUAGAGGAGGACAGCAAGCUGUUAUUUUUUCUUUUAGACAGCCAUUGUGGGGCUAGCUUGAGCCAUUGUUUUCUCGUUCUUCUUGUGCUGUGGAACUUUGUGAGAGGGAAAUUGACAUUGAAAUCCAAAAUCAAUUUAAUCUUCCCAUCUUAUUAUUGAUAAUUGCUCUUAACUCUAUCAAUUUGGUCUGAUAUGCCAGAUCCAAAAACCCCAUGACCAAAACUUGAAUGGAGAGAGGAGUAGAAACACGUAUUGAUCAGGUAGAGAAGAGUAUAGGAAAUUUGGAAGAAGUUAUAGCUUCUAUGAUGCUUGACCAAGAGCAAAGGAUGACUGCUCUUAAAAUGGGGCAAGAACAGAGGUUGACGAGGUUGGAGGCGUUACUCACAUCCUUGGUCAAAGGGAAGGCACAUAUGGAUGAUGCUGAAGCUUCCACCCGAUUAGCGACAAAAGGUACACACUCCAAUACUUUACCUAUUCAACAAACGGUAAUAGUAGAAGCUAAUGCCUUGGCCAUCAAAAAGGUGGAAAUGCCCAACUUUGAUGGAGUACACCCUAUAGGCUGGUUAGCUAGGGCAGAUCAGUAUUUUGUAUUAAACAACACUAUAGUUAGCCCUAGUGUAUGGAAGGACCAGUUCUUCACAGGUUGAGGUGGAUUAAGCAACAUAAUCCUAAUAUUUUUUAGGCUCAGCUAACUCAGAAGCUAUUACGACAAUAUGGUGGGGACAUGAGCAGUAAUCCCUACGAGCGGCUUGCAACUCUUUGGCAAAAUUUCUCAGUGGAUGAAGAUGUUGAUGAUUUUGUAGCAUUAGCAUCUCAUAUGAAAGGGUUAAAUGACCAACAAUGUUUGGGUUAUUUUUUCAGCGGAUUACGGGAUGAAAUCAGGGUGAGGAUUUGCUCUCAUGAAGCAGUUGAUCUUUAUCACUCUAUGGCUGUCGCGAGAGAGAUUGAGCUGAAAAGUCAGUUUCUGCAAUCAUCAAAACCACAUGGACGAAGCUCUGGAGAUGGUGGGCCUCAAUGGGCUUCUGGAAUCGGGCUAAGAGUUGAGGCCGUUACUACUUAUAGACCCACCAGCACUUUAAACACAUUAUCCCCAAAAAAUAAAACCAAGUAUCUUGCACUUUCAGAUCCUAAACCACGAGACCGAUCUUCUUUAAUCCCGAAAGCCUUACCUUCGUCUUCCUAUUCAAAUACCAAAAUUCCACAAAACCAUCACCGCAAUCGACCUACUAGACAGUAAACCCACCGGGAGUUUUUGGAUCUGAGAGCUAAGGGACUGUGUUACAAAUGCAAGCAGCCUCUCUUCUACACAUGAAUGCCUGAAUAAAUCUCUCUAAACUAUAAUUGCCAACAAAGAUGAAGAGCCCAAGAGGAAAUGGAAGUCGAUAUAGUGAUUCUAGAGCCAGAUGGUCAACCGAUAACGAUUUUAGACGAUGUCCAUUUUUCAAAAAUGGAGCUAUCAUUAUAUUCUAUAGGAGGAAUAUCUUCUCCAAAGUCUAUGAAACUGCAGGGCAAAAUAGGGAUCAUACCAUUACUAUCAUGAGACCGUGGUGCCAGUCACAAAUUUGUGUCAGGUAAACUGAUUUCUGAAUUAAGGUUGCCUAUGGAAGAAACCCCUAUUUUCGGCGUGAAAUUGCGUGAUGGACAUCGGGUUCAGACUUCAGAGUUUGCCGAAGUAUCAAGAUUGAUGUGGGUGAUUUGAAAAUUAAGGCCGAUUGUUUUCGAUUUCCUCUAGGAGGUGUAGAUUUAAUUCUGGGAAUUGCUUAGCUCCAGACUCUAGGAGAAGUUAGGAUUAUUUGAUUAACUAUGAAGAUGAUUUUCUCUCACUCAGGGUGGCUCGUAACUAUUGAAGGCAAUCCAACUUUCACACGGGCUCUAGAGACUGCACAAAUUGAAGGAUGUGAAUGUCACUUUGCUUUUAUGGGAAAUUUCUCAACCCAUAGAAAACUCUUCAGAAGGUACUGAGAUUAAUAAGGAAAAACAGCUUCAAUUACAGCAACUACUCAACUCCUUUGAUAAAGUGUUUGGAGAAAUUACUAGCCCACCUCCAGAUAGACAUACUGAUCAUGUCAUUCCAUUGGCAUCGGGUGCAACAGCAGUAAAUGUUCGUCCAUCACUUUCAGAAGGACGAAAUUGAAAAGUUGGUUGGGGAAAUGUUAACUGCAGGAAUUAUCGGACCCAAUAUCAGUCCGUUCUCGAGUCCAAUUCUCCUGGUUAAGAAAAAAUAUGAAAGCUGGAGAUUGUGAGUGGAUUACCGAGCAUUAAACAAGGCAACCAUUCCUCACAAGUAUCCUAUUCCAGUCAUAAGCAAAUUGCUGGAUAAAUUACAGAGGGCAAGGUAUUUCUCCAAGCUGGACCUAAAUUCUGGGUACCAUCAAAUUCGGGUCAAGAAUCUGAAAUUCCAAAGGCAGCAUUUCGGACUCAUUCAGAAACGUUACAAGUUUGUGGUUAUGCCAUUUGGGCUCUCCAAUGCUCUGGCAACCUUCCAAGCCACUAUGAACGAUCUAUUCAGGCCCUAUCUACGGAAUUUUGUAUUGAUUUUCUUCGACUAUAUUUUGAUAUACAGCAGAACUUGGGAGGAACAUUUGCAACAAUUAAAAAUAGUUUUGCAAUUGCUAUGCAAUCAGCAAUUUACAGUCAAUCAGAAGAAGAGUUCUUUUGGUUUGAUAAGUGUGGAAUAUUUAGGCCAUGUAAUAUCUUAUCAAGGGAUGGCCAUUGAACUUACAAAGGUAUCUAGUGUAUUGAUCUGGCCAAUUCAAAAAACUCUCAAGGGUGUUCGUGGAUUUAUCGGGUUGACCGGUUAUUAGUGUAAAUUCAUCAAAGGGUAUGGAAGCAUUGCAUAUCCGUUGAAUCCCGUGCUAAGAAUAGAAUACCAAGAGAGACUUAGAUGGACAUAAACAGCACAAGAGGCAUUUCAAACUCUUAAACAAGCUCUGGUGACUACUCCUGACUUUAAUAAAACAUUUGUGGUUGAAUGUGAUGCAUCAGGAACAGCGUAGGAGCUGUGUUGAUGCAAGAACAAAGACCAAUUACCUAUUUUAGUAAAGGCCUGUCUCACAAAAACUUGUCUAAAUCUACUUAUGAGCGCGAAAUGAUGGCUCUUGUCCUUGCAAUUAGACGAGGGAGACCUUACCUAUUGGGGCAGAAAUUCUUGGUGCAUACUGAUCAAAAUAGUUUGAGACACUUAUUGGAACAACAGAUUAACACACCUACGCAACAAUUUUGGUACCGAAACUGUUCAGUUAUAAUUUUAAAAUCAUGUACAAGCCUGAGUCCUCUUGCAGCUGAUGCCCUAUCAAGAAUUGAAGAAGAAGUCGAAUUGCAAGCUCUCACUUGCUCAAACCGCAUUGGGAUAUAAUUGAAAAGGAGAUGGCAAACAAUUCUUCUCUACAAGAUAUAAUUCAAAAGCUGAAAAAGGAGGGAAAAUCUCAUGGAGCAUAUACAUUAGUGCAAGACAAACUGUUUUAUAGAGGAAGGAUUGUUCUGCCAGCAAAUUCCUCGACCAUUCCCAAUCUCUUGGCCAAAUUUCAUUCAACACCAACGGGGGCAAUCGGGUGCAUUUUGAACUUAUAAGAGACUGGCAAACAUCUAUGAAAGGGGUAAUUCAUACUAAAUUGACUGCUCAUUACUUUGGACCAUUUAAAAUCAUCCAAAAAGUGGGAAAGGUGGCAUAUCGCUUGCAAUUGCCCAAAGAAGCAAGAAUACACCCUGUUUUUCAUGUAUCACAAUUGAAGUGGUCGAUUCUCAUCCCAUCACCAAAAAAUUACCUAAAGACUUGUCGGUUGAUGAGCUUCCAAUUGAACCAGAGGCAAUCUUGCAAAAGAAUUCAAAUGUGAGGGAGGGAUGCAAAAUGGAUCAGUUAUUGGUUAAAUAGAAAAAUAAGCCCAUUGAAGAAGCCACCUGGAUGAACCACUAUGAUUUUAUCAAUCAAUUUCCAGCCUUCAGUUGAGUACAAAGCUGUCUUUCAAAAGGGAAGCAUUGAUAGCAGCAGCCCAAAUAGAGAUCCAGGAAUCAUGAACAAUGGGCCAAACCCUUGAGAUUUUACUACAGAAGAAAUGUUAAAGGAAAGGGUAGCAUAGUUUCCAAAUGAAGAGUCCAGACUUGCCAAGCUGGAAAUGGACAAAUUAGGUGGUUACGAGGUUAGAGUGAUUCUCAGAUAGUACCUGGAGAGAGAAAG
RNAcentral lists this long non-coding RNA (4741 nucleotides) under Manihot esculenta (cassava). RNAcentral describes it as "long non-coding RNA (MESC_LNC009017)". The record is from RNAcentral. Lineage: Eukaryota; Viridiplantae; Streptophyta; Magnoliopsida; Malpighiales; Euphorbiaceae.